GAUGAACGCUAGCUACAGGCUUAACACAUGCAAGUCGAGGGGAAACGACAUCGAAAGCUUGCUUUUGAUGGGCGUCGACCGGCGCACGGGUGAGUAACGCGUAUCCAACCUGCCCAUCACUUGGGAUUAACCUUGCGAAAGUAAGACUAAUACCCAAUGAUAUCCCACGAAGGCAUCGGAAUGGGAUUAAAGAUUUAUCGGUGAUGGAUGGGGAUGCGUCUGAUUAGCUUGUUGGCGGGGUAACGGCCCACCAAGGCAACGAUCAGUAGGGGUUCUGAGAGGAAGGUCCCCCACAUUGGAACUGAGACACGGUCCAAACUCCUACGGGAGGCAGCAGUGAGGAAUAUUGGUCAAUGGGCGAGAGCCUGAACCAGCCAAGUAGCGUGCAGGAAGACGGCCCUAUGGGUUGUAAACUGCUUUUAUAAGGGAAUAAAGUGGGUCACGUGUGACUUUUUGCAUGUACCUUAUGAAUAAGGACCGGCUAAUUCCGCG
Molecule: ribosomal RNA, 492 nt
Filed under: uncultured bacterium
Lineage: Bacteria
Description: partial 16S ribosomal RNA
Rfam family: Bacterial small subunit ribosomal RNA
Source: RNAcentral